This 69-nucleotide transfer RNA is filed under the name Dendrochiton gothicus. RNAcentral's name for it is "tRNA-Arg". Lineage: Eukaryota; Metazoa; Mollusca; Polyplacophora; Chitonida; Mopaliidae. The record is from RNAcentral.
GUCUCGAAAGUGAUUUAUUCAUUUAUGGUUUCGGCCCAUUAGGUAACAGUAAGGUUCUGUUUUGAGAUU